Molecule: microRNA precursor, 80 nt
Filed under: Bombyx mori (domestic silkworm)
Lineage: Eukaryota; Metazoa; Arthropoda; Insecta; Lepidoptera; Bombycidae
Description: mir-2807 microRNA precursor family
Rfam family: mir-2807 microRNA precursor family
Source: Rfam by way of RNAcentral
UUAAGUGUAAAAUGGAGUUGGAACGUUUGCCGACGUUUGCCGCUAGGGGCGCUGUUCCAACUGCAUACAAAUUUGAGUUA